Long non-coding RNA from Eubalaena glacialis (North Atlantic right whale), 1691 nucleotides. RefSeq lists it as uncharacterized. The transcript has 4 exons. The record is from RefSeq and is a predicted model, not a curated record. Lineage: Eukaryota; Metazoa; Chordata; Mammalia; Artiodactyla; Balaenidae.
AGAUCAGAACCCCCGAUGGGGGAGGGGAAAUGCCCCCACAACUCCAGGCCGGGGCUCAGCAGAACUCCCUCGGGGGGGGGGUCAGCACACCUGGGCAGAUUCUUCCUUCUAACUUCAGGGAAGGCUCUCCAGCAACUCUGGGCUUAGGCUGCUCCCACCCGCCACAGCCGUCCGGAACCUGAAAGCCUCCCUGGAAGGUGAGUGGAAUAUGCCCACUUGGCAGACAUGGAAAGAAGACCACAGAGGCCGGGCAACUCUUCCAAGUCACUAAGAAGGCACCAACAGAACUCAGAUUUGACCCCAGGCAGGGGAAAUAAGAGGAUCACACGGGAGGGGCCCAGGUGGUGGUCAGGUGUGAGGGCGGCCCUGCGCUCACAGUUGGCACUCAGUCCUGUUGGGGGAUCGCUCCUGCCACCGACCACCUCCCUGCCCCGCCCACAGCUAUGGACACCAAAUGGGCACGGAGGCAGGGAGUAGACAGGUCUGUGCCGCGUGCGUGGAGCUGGCCUGAAGAGUCCCCUGCGGGCAGCUGACCUGGCGAUUCCCUUCACUCUCACUGCUCUAAUCAUCCAACACUGUUGCCCGCCAGCGAAACAUACCAGGGCCUAGAAUUAGUCUCCCUACACCCUGAUGCCCACCCUGGAAAAAAACAGGAGAGCUGCGUACUUGGCAACAGGCUAGCAAAUUCACACCCUGUCUUCCUUUCCCAUCCUCUGCUCAGACCCUGCGGCAGGGAUGCACAUAGACCCUGCCCCCACCCCUGCAUCUCAGGAGCUCAGGGCGGAGACCAGUGGAGGCAGAGAAGAAAUAAACACAGGCGAGUGGGCUUGUCUCGGCUCCCCGCUCUAAGCAGCAGGUCUGAUUGUGGCACAGGGAGGAAGAAGGGGGUCCCCAGAGCAGACGGCUCGUCCCACACUGCCACUGUUUGGGGUGCCUGGGCUAAUCUAUCCCCAGGAGACCAAGGCUUGGCCAAGCUGCGUCAGCCUGUCCUGGAGGUGUGUGAUGGGCCAGCCCCCUAGAAGGUCCCUCCACAGCCUGGGCAUUUCCACGGAGCUGCUAAGAGAGGCUACAUCCGGAAGCAGGACUCUGGACAUCUCAGGCCCACGGGAGAGAAGGCUCUUGGAGCCACACUAGCACCUGCUCGUGUUCACGAUCUCCGGGAGCACGCACGGCACGAGGUGCAAUCCCAGGCUCCCCUCUGCUCGCGCUCCCCACAGCCGGCUGCUGUUAAGCUGCCCUCCCUUCCCCGACAUCCUGCGUGUGGCUUUGGCCUCCGUCUGCCGGGUGUGAGUACGCCCCUGCACCUCCCACGGCGGGGAGUGGUAAGAGAGGGCUGUAAGCAGCUGGGGCAGCUGCUGACCCUUGGGCACCUGUCCGUCCCAACUCAGAUGCCCGCGGCUGCUUUGCCAGCGCCUGAGUUAUCCUGGGAAACCCAAUCUCCCAGAGGCACCAGGCAGCCCCUGGCCAGCAGCUUAGCAAACAAACCUGGGCAGAAAGGGCACCUCUGUGGAGGUGGGACUAGAACACAGAGAGAGCGGGGAUGGGAACCACAGAAUCGUUGUCGCUGCUGUUGUUAGGUAAUAAAAGGGAUUGAGAGGGACUGUGGCCAGAUGCUACUUGAAGCACUUUACAAGCAUCAUCUCAUGUAAUUCUUACAAUUACUUACGAAAUAGCCAAUUCUGAGAGCUACG